CCUAGAGAUAUGUAGCCUGCCUCCCCCAUUUAAUAGAAAAGAAAAGAAGUUGUAGAAUUCAGAGAUGAUAGACUACUGCCUUCCAGCCCUGUAAAAAUAGUGACUUCUGGAGUAACACUGAUCACACCAAAGGAGAAAGUGAUCAGUUUAGUUCUGCCCAUAAUUUGUAACUGAUUCUAUCAAGACAUAAUUCACACUUAAUUUUUUUCCACCUCCAAAAUUAGUGCUUGUCCUUAGGUAGAAAAAUUAGCUUGCAGAUGCAGAAAAGAUGCAGAGUUAAAAUUAUACAGUUGCUCUUAGAAGUCCUUCUCUGAGGUGCAAGAUGGUUCUCUCUUCCGUGUUCUUCUAGAAGCACUGUGGCUUCCUUUGAACAUCACCACAAUCUUCUGUGGAGCAACUUGCAGGUCUUUAGGGUCUGAGAACUGAUGCUAGUGAUCACAGGAGGCAGAUGCAGCUGCACAUGGCCAUCAUUAAUGCUGUUUCCUCAUUUUCUUCUUUCCCUCCCCCUAGGCUUAUGGUGGACUUCCUUGGUGGCUCAGCGAUAAAGAAUCUGCCUGCUAAUGUGUGAGACAUGGGUUCAAUCCCUGGGUCAGGAAGAUUCCCUAGAGAAGGAAAUGGCAACCCACUCCAGUAUUCUUGCCUGGAAAGUUCCAUGGACAGGAGCAAGCUACAGUCUAUCGGGUCACAGAGAGAUGGACACGACUUGGCGACUGCACAACACCGACAAGGCAUAUGAAAAGAAGAACGAAAGCAGAAUCAAGAUUCAGAUUCACGUAGACCAGUGGUCGUAACAGGUAUAUGUUGAUGCCUCCGUGAAAAAGAAGAGACAGGAAAAAUCAAAGAAGUGACAUAAAGUUCUUUUCUUGAAAAAUAACAAGAAAAAAGGCAAAACCAAUGGUACAUUUCUGUAAGAUACAUUUCGGGAAGAAGGAAAAUGAUCUCAUGAGAAAUGUCUGUGAGAAGAAAUCAUGCAAGAAGAAAUGCAGCACAAAGAAAGUAGUUAAAAUGAGUGAAAAUGUAAACACCAUAGACUCUAUUGAUCAUGUCCAGUUUUUAGUGUUUAAAGAAAACAAAUGAAACCUACAUUUUGUGGAAGACCAAGCAAGCUGGGAACGGAAUGAGCAGAUUUAAAACAUUGUAAAGCUCUUUAAUGAUUUGGAAGAAAGAUAACAUGCUAAUAUACUCUGAACUGUUUUCAGUUACAUGUCUAUAAUGAUUUAAAGAAUACCAAUUCAAAAGUAUAGAAAUUAACUGUAAAACUUCAUGGAAAAGUAAAAUGAGAAGUUAAAAACAAACAAAGGCCUCUACUAGUCUGAAAAGAGGAAAAUAAAUUAAAUAAAAAAACAAAAAACA
Molecule: long non-coding RNA, 1353 nt
Filed under: Bos indicus x Bos taurus (hybrid cattle)
Lineage: Eukaryota; Metazoa; Chordata; Mammalia; Artiodactyla; Bovidae
Description: lncRNA (ENSBIXG00000023230.1)
Source: RNAcentral